This 72-nucleotide transfer RNA is filed under the name Thermanaerovibrio acidaminovorans DSM 6589. It matches the Rfam family "tRNA". Rfam says of the family: Transfer RNA (tRNA) molecules are approximately 80 nucleotides in length. Their secondary structure includes four short double-helical elements and three loops (D, anti-codon, and T loops). Lineage: Bacteria; Thermotogati; Synergistota; Synergistia; Synergistales; Synergistaceae. The record is from Rfam by way of RNAcentral.
GGGGAUGUAGCUCAGUGGGAGAGCGCCUGCCUUGCACGCAGGAAGUCGGCGGUUCGAAUCCGCUCAUCUCCA